GACGAACGCUGGCGGCGUGCCUAAUACAUGCAAGUCGAGCGAACAGACGGGAGCUUGCUCCCUGAAGUUAGCGGCGGACGGGUGAGUAACACGUGGGCAACCUGCCUGUAAGACUGGGAUAACUUCGGGAAACCGGAGCUAAUACCGGAUAAUACUUCCACUCACAUGAGAGGGAGUUAAAAGACGGCGCAAGCUGUCACUUACAGAUGGGCCCGCGGCGCAUUAGCUAGUUGGUGAGGUAACGGCUCACCAAGGCGACGAUGCGUAGCCGACCUGAGAGGGUGAUCGGCCACACUGGGACUGAGACACGGCCCAGACUCCUACGGGAGGCAGCAGUAGGGAAUCUUCCGCAAUGGACGAAAGUCUGACGGAGCAACGCCGCGUGAGUGAAGAAGGUCUUCGGAUCGUAAAACUCUGUUAUCAGGGAAGAAUAAGUAUCGGAGUCACUGCCGGUACCUUGACGGUACCUGACCAGAAAGCCACGGCUAACUACGUGCCAGCAGCCGCGGUAAUACGUAGGUGGCAAGCGUUGUCCGGAAUUAUUGGGCGUAAAGCGCGCGCAGGCGGUUUUUUAAGUCUGAUGUGAAAUCUUGUGGCUUAACCACAAGCGGUCAUUGGAAACUGGAAGACUUGAGUGCAGAAGAGAAGAGCGGAAUUCCACGUGUAGCGGUGAAAUGCGUAGAGAUGUGGAGGAACACCAGUGGCGAAGGCGGCUCUUUGGUCUGUAACUGACGCUGAGGCGCGAAAGCGUGGGGAUCAAACAGGAUUAGAUACCCCUGGUAGUCCACGCCGUAAACGAUGAGUGCUAAGUGUUAGAGGGUUUCCGCCCUUUAGUGCUGCAGCAAACGCAUUAAGCACUCCGCCUGGGGAGUACGGCCGCAAGGCUGAAACUCAAAGGAAUUGACGGGGGCCCGCACAAGCGGUGGAGCAUGUGGUUUAAUUCGAAGCAACGCGAAGAACCUUACCAGGUCUUGACAUCCCGCUGCCCGGUUUAGAGAUAGACCUUUCCCUUCGGGGACAGCGGUGACAGGUGGUGCAUGGUUGUCGUCAGCUCGUGUCGUGAGAUGUUGGGUUAAGUCCCGUAACGAGCGCAACCCUUGAUCUUAGUUGCCAGCAUUCAGUUGGGCACUCUAAGGUGACUGCCGGUGACAAACCGGAGGAAGGUGGGGAUGACGUCAAAUCAUCAUGCCCCUUAUGACCUGGGCUACACACGUGCUACACUGGAUGGUACAAAGGGUCGCGAGACCGCGAGGUUAAGCCAAUCCCAUAAAACCAUUCUCAGUUCGGAUUGCAGGCUGCAACUCGCCUGCAUGAAGCCGGAAUCGCUAGUAAUCGUGGAUCAGCAUGCCACGGUGAAUACGUUCCCGGGCCUUGUACUCACCGCC
RNAcentral lists this ribosomal RNA (1385 nucleotides) under uncultured bacterium. RNAcentral describes it as "bacterial SSU rRNA". It matches the Rfam family "Bacterial small subunit ribosomal RNA", at positions 28 to 1394 of the family's 1533-position model. The record is from RNAcentral.